RNAcentral lists this non-coding RNA (193 nucleotides) under Pachysolen tannophilus NRRL Y-2460. Lineage: Eukaryota; Fungi; Ascomycota; Pichiomycetes; Alaninales; Pachysolenaceae. The record is from Rfam by way of RNAcentral.
GUAACCAUUUGUUGGAAGCUUUUCCCUUUUGUUCAAAGAGUAAAACUCUGAAAAAAAAAAAGAUUUUUUAAUUUUUUUUUUUUUAAAGAAUUCAGCUUUAAAACCAUCGCCGUUGUGAGGUUGCCGUCGUGGCUUACUGGUUACGAGUCUGGCUGAUCCAUGAAAUGGUGAUGACCUAAAGUCUGAUACAUUA